This 495-nucleotide long non-coding RNA is filed under the name Phoenix dactylifera (date palm). Its description in RNAcentral is "long non-coding RNA (PDAC_LNC017730)". The record is from RNAcentral. Lineage: Eukaryota; Viridiplantae; Streptophyta; Magnoliopsida; Arecales; Arecaceae.
AGCAAGGUUCGCCAUUUCGAUACUAGACCCAUACCAAUGCCAUCCUUAUAUAAUGCAAUACAGUAUGUUACGAAAUUUUUUUAGCGUACCAAAUAUCGGUACGCCACGUAUACCGAUAACGAACCAGUACAAUAUGCUCAAUACCAUCUAGUUUGGUACAGCAUAUCAUUUGUACAAGUUACUGAUCAAUCUUUGCAAGACAGACACUAUUCAGUGCCACCAACAAACUUGUAUGUUAUUUUACCGAGGAUAUGAUGACCCAUCAGCCACCAUUACUUACCAAGAACUUCUCACGUUAAAAAAAAUAGAGAAGAUAACAAUAUAAUUAGUUCUUCUUGACAACGGGGAGACGCAAACCAAAUCAAUCAUGAAAGAAGCAACUGAAAGAUUAGCUGAAACAUUCUGCACAUCGGGAACCUUUUGAGGGUCAAACAGUACCCACAAGGCAGUUUAUAAUGACCAUGCAGACUCUUAUGAAAGCACUAUAGAGUUGCU